GGGGGCGUGGCGGAAUUGGCAUACGCGGGGGUCUUAAAAACCCUUGCCGGAAGGCUUGUGGGUUCGAACCCCACCGCCCCUACCA
This 85-nucleotide transfer RNA is filed under the name Parolsenella catena. RNAcentral describes it as "tRNA-Leu". It matches the Rfam family "tRNA". From Rfam's summary of the family: Transfer RNA (tRNA) molecules are approximately 80 nucleotides in length. Their secondary structure includes four short double-helical elements and three loops (D, anti-codon, and T loops). Lineage: Bacteria; Bacillati; Actinomycetota; Coriobacteriia; Coriobacteriales; Atopobiaceae. The record is from RNAcentral.